RNAcentral lists this ribosomal RNA (386 nucleotides) under uncultured eukaryote. RNAcentral describes it as "SSU rRNA". It matches the Rfam family "Eukaryotic small subunit ribosomal RNA", at positions 587 to 972 of the family's 1831-position model. The record is from RNAcentral.
AGCUCCAUGAGUGUAUAUUAAAGUUGUUGCGGUUAAAAAGUUCGUAGUCUAAUUUCGACUCGCUGUCUUGCGGUCGCUCAAGAUGAGUGUACUGCAGUGACGAGGGUCAUUAUUUCUCAAUGCAGUGUUGAGUAAUUAAGUUUGCUUUUCAUGUGCUUGGGAUCAAUUACUGUGAACAAAUCAAAGCGUUCAAAGCAGGUGUUUUCACCAUUGAAUGUUCAAGCAUGGGAUAAUGGAAUAUGAUUUUGUAUCUUUUCGUUGGUCUAAGAUAUAAGAUAAUGAUUAAUAGGAGUGAAUGGGGCCAUUAGUAUAAAAGAGUAAGAGGUGAAAUUCGAUGAUCUCUUUUAGACUAACUGAUGCGAAGGCGUUUGGCAAGUGCACAUCCA